AUUGAACUCUGGCGGCAGGCCUAACACAUGCCAGUCGAGCGGAGCGGCGGACGGGUGAGUAAUGCCUAGGAAUCUGCCUGGUCGUGGGGGAUAACGUCCGGAAACGGGCGCUAAUACCGCAUACUAUCAGAUGAGCCCAGGUCGGAUUAGAUAGUUGGUGGGGUAAAGGCCUACCAAGGCGACGAUCCGUAGCUGUUCUGAGAGGAUGAUCAGUCACACGGGAAAUGAGACACGGUGCAGACUGCUACGGUAGGAAGCAGUGGGGAAUAUUGGAGAAUGGGCGAAAGCCUGAACAUGCCAUGCCGCGAGUGUGAAGAAGGGCAUCGGAUAGUAAAGCACUUUAAGUUGGGAGGCGUUACCAACAGAAUAAGCACCGGCUAACUUCGUGCCAGCAGCCGCGGUAAUAC
This 407-nucleotide ribosomal RNA is filed under the name uncultured bacterium. RNAcentral describes it as "partial 16S ribosomal RNA". It matches the Rfam family "Bacterial small subunit ribosomal RNA", at positions 30 to 526 of the family's 1533-position model. The record is from RNAcentral.